CCUACGGGCGGCAGCAGUGGGGAAUAUUGGGCAAUGGGCGCAAGCCUGACCCAGCAACGCCGCGUGAAGGAAGAAGGCUUUCGGGUUGUAAACCUCUUUUGUCGGGGAGCAAAAGCCGGACGUGUCCGGCUGUGAGAGUACCCGAAGAAAAAGCAUCGGCUAACUCCGUGCCAGCAGCCGCGGUAAUACGGAGGAUGCGAGCGUUAUGCGGAUUUAUUGGGUUUAAAGGGUGCGCAGGCGGAUUUUUAAGUCAGCGGUCAAAUCGUGGGGGCCAACCCCAUCCAGCCGUUGAAACUGGGGAUCUAGAGUGUGCGAGAGGUAUGCGGAAUGCGUGGUGUAGCGGUGAAAUGCAUAGAUAUCACGCAGAACCCCGAUUGCGAAGGCGGCAAUCUGGCUGGAAACUGACGCUGAGGUGCGAAAGCGUGGGUAGCAAACAGGAUUAGAUACCCCAGUAGUC
Molecule: ribosomal RNA, 457 nt
Filed under: uncultured bacterium
Lineage: Bacteria
Description: partial 16S ribosomal RNA
Rfam family: Bacterial small subunit ribosomal RNA
Source: RNAcentral